AGGGAGGGCGAGCCUUUAGGAGUUCCGCGGGCCGCAGGCGGGGGUGGACGAGUCGCAGAUCCCCCUCCCCUGGCAAAAACAGGACGCAGGCUUCGGUUCUGGCGCGGAACAAUGGGAGCACCCAGGAACCGGGCGAGUGCUGCUUCCUCCGCCUCGGCCCCGGGUUUUCUCGCUCCCCAGCCCCGCUCGGGCCUCCCGACCGCCGCCACCUCCUUGGCCCGGCCCUUCCCCGCCUGCUACAAUGUGGCGCUUCCUUUGGUGACCGCUGCCUCCUUCUAUUUUUGUAAACGUAUUUGCCCUAUCUCUCCCUUGGUUGCCAGAAGUGGUCUUCCCGUCUCAUUGUCAGCGUAAUGCUGAGUUGCGAUCUCCUUCCGGAAAAAAUUUUUUUUCCUCCAAAAAUCCAAAUCUAGGAGGAAAUGCAGCCAAUUCAGCACAACCUUUAUUUAACUAUAACUACACUCUGCCGUGUGAAGGAAAAAUACAAUCUGAAGCGCGUGUCGCUUGUCCUAG
RNAcentral lists this long non-coding RNA (510 nucleotides) under Rattus norvegicus (Norway rat). RNAcentral's name for it is "long non-coding RNA NONRATT013160". Lineage: Eukaryota; Metazoa; Chordata; Mammalia; Rodentia; Muridae. The record is from RNAcentral.